This 1779-nucleotide ribosomal RNA is filed under the name Drosophila melanogaster (fruit fly). RNAcentral describes it as "eukaryotic LSU rRNA". The stretch from base 553 to 1779 matches the Rfam family "Eukaryotic large subunit ribosomal RNA", at positions 1891 to 3185 of the family's 3401-position model. Lineage: Eukaryota; Metazoa; Arthropoda; Insecta; Diptera; Drosophilidae. The record is from RNAcentral.
CGCAUGGGAGGCGGGUAGCUAGACACAACUGCGUAGUAAAUCGAAUCAAGCGGGGACUUGAGGAGAGAGGCUGCGUGGUCAUUGUUGAACCAAGUCUGCAGUGCGAAUCCGGCCUUAAUAAACCAGACCUGGUGGCACUACGACAAAAUCACAUUGAUGUGAUCGACAUACAAAUUGUGACAGACGGACACUCUAUGGAUGAUGCGCACCAGCGCAAAAUCAAUAGAUACGACAGACCGGACAUACGAACUGAAUUGCGUCGCAGAUUCGAAGCCGCAGGUGACAUUGAAUUCCAUUCUGCCACCCUGAACUGGAGGGGGAUCUGGAGUGGUCAAUCCGUUAAAAGAUUGAUAGCAAAGGGUCUCCUCAGCAAAUAUGAUAGUCAUAUCAUUAGCGUCCAGGUUAUGAGAGGCAGUCUCGGUUGUUUUAAACAGUUCAUGUACCUGAGCGGGUUUUCCCGAGAUUGGACUUAGCUAAAUCGUUUGGUUCAAAACAUUUGCUUGCUGUCUUGGCAUAACAUCAAUAAAGGCAUAAACAUCGCAAAAUAAUGGUUAUAAUUAAAUGGCUAUGAGGAUGGUUUUAGUACGUAGGCGUUGCGGAACUUCGGUUCAUAUAGAGCAAUGAAUCGUGCAUGCUAGGAAAACUGACCACACACAGUGUUGGCAGACCUAGUAUCUUUCGAAGAUUUCCAUACCUCCGCGAUCAAAAAAAAAAAAAAAAAAAUAGCCAAAUGCCUCGUCAUCUAAUUAGUGACGCGCAUGAAUGGAUUAACGAGAUUCCUACUGUCCCUAUCUACUAUCUAGCGAAACCACAGCCAAGGGAACGGGCUUGGAAUAAUUAGCGGGGAAAGAAGACCCUUUUGAGCUUGACUCUAAUCUGGCAGUGUAAGGAGACAUAAGAGGUGUAGAAUAAGUGGGAGAUAUUAGACCUCGGUUUGGUAUCGUCAAUGAAAUACCACUACUCUUAUUGUUUCCUUACUUACUUGAUUAAAUGGAACGUGUAUCAUUUCCUAGCCAUUAUACGGAUAUAUUUAUUAUAUCUUAUGGUAUUGGGUUUUGAUGCAAGCUUCUUGAUCAAAGUAUCACGAGUUUGUUAUAUAAUCGCAAACAAAUUCUUUAAUAAAACGAUGCAUUUAUGUAUUUUUGAUUUGAAAAUUUGGUAUAACUCCAAUUACUCAGGUAUGAUCCAAUUCAAGGACAUUGCCAGGUAGGGAGUUUGACUGGGGCGGUACAUCUCUCAAAUAAUAACGGAGGUGUCCCAAGGCCAGCUCAGUGCGGACAGAAACCACACAUAGAGCAAAAGGGCAAAUGCUGACUUGAUCUCGGUGUUCAGUACACACAGGGACAGCAAAAGCUCGGCCUAUCGAUCCUUUUGGUUUAAAGAGUUUUUAACAAGAGGUGUCAGAAAAGUUACCAUAGGGAUAACUGGCUUGUGGCGGCCAAGCGUUCAUAGCGACGUCGCUUUUUGAUCCUUCGAUGUCGGCUCUUCCUAUCAUUGUGAAGCAAAAUUCACCAAGCGUUGGAUUGUUCACCCAUGCAAGGGAACGUGAGCUGGGUUUAGACCGUCGUGAGACAGGUUAGUUUUACCCUACUAAUGACAAAACGUUGUUGCGACAGCAUUCCUGCGUAGUACGAGAGGAACCGCAGGUACGGACCAAUGGCACAAUACUUGUUCGAGCGAACAGUGGUAUGACGCUACGUCCGUUGGAUUAUGCCUGAACGCCUCUAAGGUCGUAUCCGUGCUGGACUGCAAUGAUAAAUAAGGGGCAAUUUGCAUUGU